This is a long non-coding RNA of Bacillus rossius redtenbacheri, 666 nucleotides long. RefSeq lists it as uncharacterized. The transcript is spliced from 3 exons. Lineage: Eukaryota; Metazoa; Arthropoda; Insecta; Phasmatodea; Bacillidae. The record is from RefSeq and is a predicted model, not a curated record.
UGUCAUUAAACAAAGCUAUAGCAUUGUGAAUGAAAUGAGAAAAUGUUUAAUAUUUUGUGUAUUAAUAUCGGCAAAACGAUACGUAUUAACGAGAAAUUACUGUCCAGGGCUUUGAAAAAACAUACCGUAUUUAAUCGCAUAAUGUCCGCCAUCGCAUAAUGUCUGCACAUUUCUUUUUAAAUACUUGAAAUGGAAUUUUUUAAAAUCCGCAUAAAGUCCGCACCAGACAAAGCAACCUUGGCCACCCCUGAAAGGCACAGUAACGGGAUGGAAAAUUACCGAUGCUGUCAGCAAUGCUUUGACCUUGAGUUGUUCAUUUCUCCGGAGCGGUCGCUGAGAGGGUUUGUAGCGUGGUGAAACUGUCCGGACUCAGAAACUCGCACUCUACUGCGCAGCUGCCUGCGACGUCACUGUCACUAACGAUCGUAGCGACUUCCUGUCGUUCCAGCCACUAGAAGAAACACACCUCGCAGUUCUUCCACACUGUUGCCGUCGACUGCAGCACAUUGAAAAGGAUGAGCACUGAUGACACACGUCCCUCCGAUGACUCUGACAUCACCUUGCUGCAGUGGGGAUUCCUCGGGGCUUCUAGCAGGUGUCAGCUUGGCGUCGUGUCUCUGUGUGGAGGGGGUACGUUCCUCAGCCUGGUAUCUUGCUCAGCACUUC